Molecule: long non-coding RNA, 945 nt
Filed under: Marmota monax (woodchuck)
Lineage: Eukaryota; Metazoa; Chordata; Mammalia; Rodentia; Sciuridae
Source: RNAcentral
ACAAAAUUCAGAAUAAUAACGUGAGGACCUGAGAUAUUCCCAUUUUGCCAAUUUUUUUUAAUAUUGCUGGUUAUAUAAUUUCUACCUCUCUUCCUCUCUCCGACUCAGAUGGUGUUAAAAUCUGGCUGGUGGCAGAAUGAAGCCAUUGGUCCUCAGGUGACAUGCCCUACGGCAAAGCUAGCCCUCCUUAAAGAGUCUCCUGGGAGGCCACAUGGAAGUUGUAAUUCUCCUUCGCAGGAUUGAUGGAUCUCUUCUACAGCAGACUCUCCCCUAGGUCAUUUCUUCUAGAAAACCUGCGGUUGGUAAAAAUGACAUGUACCUUCCUGCCGCAGGACUCCAUUGGCCUCUCUUGCCCAGCCUGCGGGUCCUAAUCUAAUUACUCAGUGGGAAGAGCCAUUUGUUGGCAGAGAGACCAGAGCAGGUUGGCAACAGGACACUCCUGACAUAUGAGCCGGCAGACCCACAAAAUCAUCUCCACAAUCUAUUUCUGCAAGUUUGGGAGCGACCGAGAAACUCAAGUGUUCUUGGCUCAGAGAACAAGGCGUAAAAUGGGAAAUGGAUUGUAGAUGCUUUAGGACAAGGGGCUACGAGGUCACAUGGCUGGACCCGCCGCUGUCCUCUAGGGUCUGAACGUGGGAUGAAUUUGAUAAAUGUUUAUUGAGGAAGGAGAGUUAAAUUAGAGGACCUUCAGCUUGAGCCAGGGACUCAUGUUCUCCUAGGUACUGAGUCACAUUACCCAGCUGACCUACACGUUCUCAUGUCCUUUCUGCAUACACAUGACCCUCACCUGUGGUGGAGGUGAUGGUGAUGGAGGUGAUGGUGAUGGUGGUGAUGGUGAGGAUGGUGAUGGUGAUGAAGAUGUUAGUGGUGAUGGUGAUGGUGAUGGUGGAGGUGAUGAUGAUGAUGGUGACGGUGAUAGAGAUGGUGAUGAUGGUGGUGGUGAUG